This 827-nucleotide ribosomal RNA is filed under the name Bacillus spizizenii. Its description in RNAcentral is "bacterial SSU rRNA". It matches the Rfam family "Bacterial small subunit ribosomal RNA", at positions 61 to 868 of the family's 1533-position model. The record is from RNAcentral. Lineage: Bacteria; Bacillati; Bacillota; Bacilli; Caryophanales; Bacillaceae.
GUCGAGCGGACAGAUGGGAGCUUGCUCCCUGAUGUUAGCGGCGGACGGGUGAGUAACACGUGGGUAACCUGCCUGUAAGACUGGGAUAACUCCGGGAAACCGGGGCUAAUACCGGAUGCUUGUUUGAACCGCAUGGUUCAAACAUAAAAGGUGGCUUCGGCUACCACUUACAGAUGGACCCGCGGCGCAUUAGCUAGUUGGUGAGGUAAUGGCUCACCAAGGCAACGAUGCGUAGCCGACCUGAGAGGGUGAUCGGCCACACUGGGACUGAGACACGGCCCAGACUCCUACGGGAGGCAGCAGUAGGGAAUCUUCCGCAAUGGACGAAAGUCUGACGGAGCAACGCCGCGUGAGUGAUGAAGGUUUUCGGAUCGUAAAGCUCUGUUGUUAGGGAAGAACAAGUACCGUUCGAAUAGGGCGGUACCUUGACGGUACCUAACCAGAAAGCCACGGCUAACUACGUGCCAGCAGCCGCGGUAAUACGUAGGUGGCAAGCGUUGUCCGGAAUUAUUGGGCGUAAAGGGCUCGCAGGCGGUUUCUUAAGUCUGAUGUGAAAGCCCCCGGCUCAACCGGGGAGGGUCAUUGGAAACUGGGGAACUUGAGUGCAGAAGAGGAGAGUGGAAUUCCACGUGUAGCGGUGAAAUGCGUAGAGAUGUGGAGGAACACCAGUGGCGAAGGCGACUCUCUGGUCUGUAACUGACGCUGAGGAGCGAAAGCGUGGGGAGCGAACAGGAUUAGAUACCCUGGUAGUCCACGCCGUAAACGAUGAGUGCUAAGUGUUAGGGGGGUUUCCGCCCCUUAGUGCUGCAGCUAACGCAUUAAGCACU